CGGGUGAGUAACGCGUGAGUAACCUGCCUUGCAGAGGGGGAUAACGUCUGGAAACGGACGCUAAUACCGCAUGAAAUUGAGAGAUCGCAUGGUCUUUCAAUCAAAGGAGCAAUCCGCUGUAAGAUGGACUCGCGUCCGAUUAGCUAGUUGGCGGGGUAAAGGCCCACCAAGGCGACGAUCGGUAGCCGGACUGAGAGGUUGAACGGCCACAUUGGGACUGAGACACGGCCCAGACUCCUACGGAAGGCAGCAG
Molecule: ribosomal RNA, 253 nt
Filed under: uncultured bacterium
Lineage: Bacteria
Description: partial 16S ribosomal RNA
Rfam family: Bacterial small subunit ribosomal RNA
Source: RNAcentral